UACGUAGGGCGCAAGCGUUGUCCGGAAUUAUUGGGCGUAAAGAGCUCGUAGGCGGCUUGUCACGUCGGGUGUGAAAGCCCGGGGCUUAACCCCGGGCCUGCAUUCGAUACGGGCAGGCUAGAGUGUGGUAGGGGAGAUCGGAAUUCCUGGUGUAGCGGUGAAAUGCGCAGAUAUCAGGAGGAACACCGGUGGCGAAGGCGGAUCUCUGGGCCAUUACUGACGCUGAGGAGCGAAAGCGUGGGGAGCGAACAGG
This 253-nucleotide ribosomal RNA is filed under the name uncultured bacterium. Its description in RNAcentral is "partial 16S ribosomal RNA". It matches the Rfam family "Bacterial small subunit ribosomal RNA", at positions 524 to 776 of the family's 1533-position model. The record is from RNAcentral.